This 477-nucleotide ribosomal RNA is filed under the name uncultured bacterium. RNAcentral describes it as "partial 16S ribosomal RNA". It matches the Rfam family "Bacterial small subunit ribosomal RNA", at positions 28 to 507 of the family's 1533-position model. The record is from RNAcentral.
GACGAACGCUGGCGGCGUGCUUAACACAUGCAAGUCGAACGGUGAAGCGCCUUCCUUUUUGGUGGGUGUGGAUGAGUGGCGAACGGGUGAGUAACACGUGAGUAACCUGCCCCCUUCUUCUGGAUAACCGCAUGAAAGUGUGGCUAAUACGGGAUAUUCUGGGUCUGUCGCAUGAUGGGUCUGGGAAAGAUAUUGCUUCGGUGGGGGAUGGGCUCGCGGCCUAUCAGGUUGUUGGUGGGGUAAUGGCCUACCAAGGCGGUGACGGGUAGCCGGCCUGAGAGGGAGUGAGACCAGGCCGGGACUGAUACGGGACGCAGCAGUGUGGGAGAUGGAGCAGUGGGUGUGAGGGUGAUAUAGGGGGGACGCGUAAGCAGCAGCGGCCCUUGGGUGGUGAAGGCCUUCGGCUAGUGAAGCGGGCGUGCCUGGGUUGUAGGGUGGGUGACGGUAGCUGGUUAAGAAGCGCCGGCUAACUACGUG